AUGGGGCCCCGCUCCGCUCCACCCCCAUCCUCCUCCUCCCCUCCUCCCCGUAUAAAACCAACUACCCACCCCCGUCUCCCCUCUCUCUCCUCCUCGCUCUCUCUCAAAAAGCUCGCUCGCUCGCACGCACCACCAACACCACACCGCUCCUCCUUUCCCUCAGACCCACCCACAACCACAACAGCAUAUAUCAUCAGUCCGUUACUCGUGUGCGGCGCCGGCGGCAUCUCCUCCUGUCUACGUAGGUAUCGUAUACGUGCCGGCGGCAUGGGUAGGUCCCCGUGCUGCGAGAAGGCGCACACCAACAAGGGCGCCUGGACCAAGGAGGAGGACCAGCGCCUCAUCGCCUACAUCAAGGCCCAUGGCGAGGGCUGCUGGAGGUCCCUCCCCAAAGCCGCAGGGCUGCUGCGGUGCGGGAAGAGCUGCAGGCUGCGGUGGAUCAACUACCUGAGGCCGGACCUCAAACGGGGGAACUUCACCGAGGAGGAGGACGAGCUCAUCAUCAAGCUCCACGAGCUGCUCGGCAACAAGUGGUCGCUCAUCGCCGGGAGGCUGCCGGGGAGGACGGACAACGAGAUCAAGAACUACUGGAACACGCACAUCAAGCGCAAGCUCCUGGCCCGCGGCAUGGACCCGCACACCCACCGCCCGCUCAAUGCCAUCGCGGCGGCCGCCAUGCCCGCGCAGCAGCAGCAGCAGCUCCGGGCCGCGCACGAACGCCACUUCGCUGCUGCCACACCCGGUGGCCACCACCUCCAGCCGCAGCAGCAGGAUCCCUUCGCGGCUCUCUCCAGCUCAGCCGAACCCGCCUGCAGCCACAGCAGCGACGACGAGCCGGCCGGCUCCGCCACGCCGCCGCCACCGUCGCGACGGCACCUCGGCAUCGACCUCAACCUCUCCAUCAGCCUCGCGCCCUACCAGCCAGACGACCCAGCGGUGAAACAGGAGGCAGCAACGACGGGGAGCCAGAACAAUGCAACAACGUCCACGUCGGCGGUGUGCAUGUGCUUGAACCGCCUCGGGUUCCAGGGCGCCGGCGAGGGAUGCCGCUGCGGCGGCGCUUCCUCCGUGCCCAUGCAGCAGCAGGCCAGCAGCGCGCAGCGCAUGUUUAGAUUCAUCGCACCACUAGAGGGAGGAGGCCAAUAG
This 1146-nucleotide ribosomal RNA is filed under the name Triticum aestivum (bread wheat). RNAcentral describes it as "partial small subunit ribosomal RNA". The record is from RNAcentral. Lineage: Eukaryota; Viridiplantae; Streptophyta; Magnoliopsida; Poales; Poaceae.